GCAGGUAAGUCAUGACUUUCAUUGGCCAGGUUAUCCUGCCGCCUGACAUUCAUUGGCCAGGUUAUCCUGCUGCCUGACAUUCAUUGGCCAGGUUAUCCUGCUGCCUGACAUUCAUUUGCCAGGUUAUCCUGCUGCCUGACUUGUGCUAGCUGUGGUAGUUUCACUUUCUCAGUUGAUUGGCUGACAAUCAUGCCAGUUAUCCUAGACCAGGAUGGGGAUGUCCUGGUUCUAGAGACACAAGUGUGCUCUGUUUAGUCCAGUCUGUUAGGCAUGUCUGAGCGGAACCAGUGAAUGUCAUUUUCCCUGUCUAGGAAGUAUGGUUCAGUGAUGCUAUAAUGAAAUGCAGAGUAUGGUUGAAUUAUUUCAUAAAGGAAACCAUCGUUUUUUCAGAUUUCAUAGAGGUCAGGCAAAGGUGUGUUUUUAUGAUGUCAUA
Long non-coding RNA from Anguilla rostrata (American eel), 433 nucleotides. RefSeq lists it as uncharacterized. NCBI's taxonomy places the organism in Eukaryota, Metazoa, Chordata, Actinopteri, Anguilliformes, Anguillidae. The record is from RefSeq and is a predicted model, not a curated record. The transcript has 2 exons.